RNAcentral lists this ribosomal RNA (484 nucleotides) under uncultured bacterium. RNAcentral's name for it is "partial 16S ribosomal RNA". It matches the Rfam family "Bacterial small subunit ribosomal RNA", at positions 30 to 507 of the family's 1533-position model. The record is from RNAcentral.
AUUGAACGCUGGCGGCAGGCCUAACACAUGCAAGUCGAGCGGAUGAAGGGAGCUUGCUCCUGGAUUCAGCGGCGGACGGGUGAGUAAUGCCUAGGAAUCUGCCUGGUAGUGGGGGAUAACAUCCGGAAACGGGCGCUAAUACCGCAUACGUCCUGAGGGAGAAAGUGGGGGAUCUUCGGACCUCACGCUAUCAGAUGAGCCUAGGUCGGAUUAGCCAGUUGGUGGGGUAAAGGCCUACCAAGGCGACGAUCCGUAACUGGUCUGAGAGGAUGAUCAGUCACACUGGAACUGAGACACGGUCCAGACUCCUACGGGAGGCAGCAGUGGGGAAUAUUGGACAAUGGGCGAAAGCCUGAUCCAGCCAUGCCGCGUGUGUGAAGAAGGUCUUCGGAUUGUAAAGCACUUUAAGUUGGGAGGAAGGGCAGUAAGUUAAUACCUUGCUGUUUUGACGUUACCAACAGAAUAAGCACCGGCUAACUUCGUG